CAGCAGCCACGGGAAUACGUAGGGUGCGAGCGUUAAUCGGAAUUACUGGGCGUAAAGCGGGCGCAGACGGUUACUUAAGCAGGAUGUGAAAUCCCCGGGCUCAACCUGGGAAUUGCGUUCUGAACUGGGUGGCUAGAGUGUGUCAGAGGGGGGUAGAAUUCCACGUGUAGCAGUGAAAUGCGUAGAGAUGUGGAGGAAUACCGAUGGCGAAGGCAGCCCCCUGGGAUAGCACUGACGUUCAUGCCCGAAAGCGUGGGUAGCAAACAGGAUUAGAUACCCCUGUAGUCCCUGUCUCUUAUAC
Molecule: ribosomal RNA, 301 nt
Filed under: uncultured bacterium
Lineage: Bacteria
Description: partial 16S ribosomal RNA
Rfam family: Bacterial small subunit ribosomal RNA
Source: RNAcentral